This 482-nucleotide ribosomal RNA is filed under the name uncultured bacterium. Its description in RNAcentral is "bacterial SSU rRNA". It matches the Rfam family "Bacterial small subunit ribosomal RNA", at positions 29 to 506 of the family's 1533-position model. The record is from RNAcentral.
UUGAACGCUGGCGGCAUGCUUUACACAUGCAAGUCGAACGGCAGCGGGGGCUUCGGCCUGCCGGCGAGUGGCGAACGGGUGAGUAAUGCAUCGGAACGUACCCAGUCGUGGGGGAUAACUACGCGAAAGCGUAGCUAAUACCGCAUACGUCCUGAGGGAGAAAGCGGGGGAUCUUCGGACCUCGCGCGAUUGGAGCGGCCGAUGUCGGAUUAGCUAGUAGGUGAGGUAAAGGCUCACCUAGGCGACGAUCCGUAGCGGGUCUGAGAGGAUGAUCGGCCACACUGGGACUGAGACACGGCCCAGACUCCUACGGGAGGCAGCAGUGGGGAAUUUUGGACAAUGGGCGCAAGCCUGAUCCAGCCAUGCCGCGUGAGUGAAGGAGGCCUUCGGGUUGUAAAACUCUUUCGGCAGGAACGAAACGGUGAGCUCUAACAUAGCUUGCUAAUGACGGUACCUGAAGAAGAAGCACCGGCUAACUACGU